RNAcentral lists this ribosomal RNA (1369 nucleotides) under uncultured bacterium. RNAcentral's name for it is "bacterial SSU rRNA". It matches the Rfam family "Bacterial small subunit ribosomal RNA", at positions 28 to 1381 of the family's 1533-position model. The record is from RNAcentral.
GACGAACGCUGGCGGCGUGCCUAAUACAUGCAAGUAGAACGCUGAAGAGAGGAGCUUGCUCUUCUUGGAUGAGUUGCGAACGGGUGAGUAACGCGUAGGUAACCUGCCUUGUAGCGGGGGAUAACUAUUGGAAACGAUAGCUAAUACCGCAUAACAAUGGAUGACACAUGUCAUUUAUUUGAAAGGGGCAAUUGCUCCACUACAAGAUGGACCUGCGUUGUAUUAGCUAGUAGGUGAGGUAACGGCUCACCUAGGCGACGAUACAUAGCCGACCUGAGAGGGUGAUCGGCCACACUGGGACUGAGACACGGCCCAGACUCCUACGGGAGGCAGCAGUAGGGAAUCUUCGGCAAUGGGGGCAACCCUGACCGAGCAACGCCGCGUGAGUGAAGAAGGUUUUCGGAUCGUAAAGCUCUGUUGUAAGUCAAGAACGAGUGUGAGAGUGGAAAGUUCACACUGUGACGGUAGCUUACCAGAAAGGGACGGCUAACUACGUGCCAGCAGCCGCGGUAAUACGUAGGUCCCGAGCGUUGUCCGGAUUUAUUGGGCGUAGAGCGAGCGCAGGCGGUUUGAUAAGUCUGAAGUUAAAGGCUGUGGCUCAACCAUAGUUCGCUUUGGAAACUGUCAAACUUGAGUGCAGAAGGGGAGAGUGGAAUUCCAUGUGUAGCGGUGAAAUGCGUAGAUAUAUGGAGGAACACCGGUGGCGAAAGCGGCUCUCUGGUCUGUAACUGACGCUGAGGCUCGAAAGCGUGGGGAGCGAACAGGAUUAGAUACCCUGGUAGUCCACGCCGUAAACGAUGAGUGCUAGGUGUUGGAUCCUUUCCGGGAUUCAGUGCCGCAGCUAACGCAUUAAGCACUCCGCCUGGGGAGUACGACCGCAAGGUUGAAACUCAAAGGAAUUGACGGGGGCCCGCACAAGCGGUGGAGCAUGUGGUUUAAUUCGAAGCAACGCGAAGAACCUUACCAGGUCUUGACAUCCCGAUGCUAUUUCUAGAGAUAGAAAGUUACUUCGGUACAUCGGUGACAGGUGGUGCAUGGUUGUCGUCAGCUCGUGUCGUGAGAUGUUGGGUUAAGUCCCGCAACGAGCGCAACCCCUAUUGUUAGUUGCCAUCAUUCGGUUGGGCACUCUAGCGAGACUGCCGGUAAUAAACCGGAGGAAGGUGGGGAUGACGUCAAAUCAUCAUGCCCCUUAUGACCCGGGCUACACACGUGCUACAAUGGUUGGUACAACGAGUUGCGAGUCGGUGACGGCAAGCUAAUCUCUUAAAGCCAAUCUCAGUUCGGAUUGUAGGCUGCAACUCGCCUACAUGAAGUCGGAAUCGCUAGUAAUCGCGGAUCAGCACGCCGCGGUGAAUACGUUCCCGGGCCU